CUGCGGUCCACGGCGCCGGGCCGCAUGGAGGGGCUGAGCAGGCUGCCCCCGCCGCACCUGCCAAGAAGGCGCCCUCUGAGUGGCUGCCGCGACGAGGGGCCGAAGGGCAUCAGCGGCUCGGGCUCCCCGCGGGGCGGGAGCAGCGGGGCCAGCAGGCUGACUGGCUUGCCGGCCGGCCAAUCGGGGCGGCCCGCCAGCCGGGUGCCCUUCGGUGAUUGGUCGGCGGCCGAGGCGACGGGACGGACGGCGUCCCCCGGCGUCAGCUGCAUGAGGGGAGGGGGCUUCGGCAGGGAGAACGGCAGCGGCUGCGGGGAGGCCGUGGCCGCCGCCGCCGCCGAGUCCCCUCCGGACAUCCUGGCCGCCGGGCCCGCCGCCGGGAGCCCUUUCCCGCCUGCCCUGGCGGCCGCCGGCCGGGGACGGCGAGGAGCGGGCGGAUAGAGAGAGAAAGGGAGGCCCCGCGGCGGAGCCGAGUAGAGAAAGCGGCGGCCGGCCGGCGGCGGAGAGCAACGGCGGGAGCGAGCGCGGGGCCGGGCCGCGGAGCUGGCGCGGGGGGAAGCUGCGGCGGGGGCCGAGCGCAGGGAGCGCUGGGAAAGCGCUCACGUGGGCUGCGGGCGGGCGGCACCAAGAGCGCCGCGCAAAUAGGGGUGUGGCGCGGCGCACCUUCCGCCUCUCCCGCCUCGACGGAACGGGAGGACGCGGCCGCCUCCCCUCCGCCUUGCGGCAGGUGGUGCGUGCCGGCACUCAGGCCCGGCCUCGCCACGGCCCCCCCGCGCGGCGCCGGCUUGGUAUGCGCCGGGCUGCGGCAGCGCGGCAAGGCGGGCGCGGCCCCCGGCAUCGCCGCGCCGUGGUAGGCGCCUCCGGGGGCGGGCUGUGGCCCGGCUCGGGGAGCGGAGCCUGCCGGUACUCGUGCGGCCCUGCGGGGCUGUCCGUCUCCGGGUCGCUCCUUUGCAGCUCUUCCCGCUUCGGCUUUUCCUUCGUGUUCGCGCAGCGCUCUGUUGGCGGGGCUGACGGACAAAGGGCGGUGUGGGAGCGGGGUUGUCGGGCUGAGCCUGGCGGGGCAGCUGCCUGAUGUGCGCCCGUCUGACUCCUGUGCCGGGGAGAGCUGUGGAGAAAGGCGAGGCUUUGUGCUUUGGAGCCCCGUCCUGCGGCCUCGCUGGGCUGUGAGGGGCCCGUCCUGUGCUGGGGAGGGCGUGGGAGAGCACAGGGAGACCAGCGGCAGGGAGAGCUGCAGGUUGGCAUAACGGCCCUGCGGGUUUAACUGAAACGAGGGGUGAAACGCCACUCUUAGUUCUUCAGUGAAGUGCUACAGCACAUAACGUUGGAUUUCUUUCAUAUAGCUUGUUAUAAGAACAUACGUUGUAUAAUCAAUGAGUAUAUAGACGUAAAAUCAGUGACAAUACAGAGAAGAAUACUGGGCUUACCAAAAAAAAGACUCCACGAGGAGCCAUCUCCAGGGAGAGACCCCUCCCCAGCGGCAGUCAGCCCUGGAAUGGGCUCUAGCAGAGGUGCAGCCUGGCUGCAGCCCUUCCACUCACACAGCUCAACUGCCUUCACCUGUGCUCCCACGGCUGACUCAGCGCUCGCCUCAGGUGGUCAAUCAGAGGUUCAGGCCGUGAUUCAACAGGGAGCAGCACGCCAGCACUGUUUCCUAGAACCUGUCGCUUACUGUGCAGGCAGCACAGUGCUUGGGAAAAGCUUUACCUGGUGUUCAUCAUGAGUAGGAGUCGUCCCCACCUGUGAAGCCUGGGUUCCUGAUGGAGAAGUUGCUGAUCCUCCUCACCUGUGUCAUCUGAGUGGUUUAGAGGAAUCAUGCCAUCGGACACAGAUCAGUAAUGCUUGUUGCUUGAUCCAACUGCUGUAUAGCUGAUGAAUUCAUGGAUUUAAGACAAAUAAUCCGUAUUUCAUUACUAGCAAGUGCUAGAAAUAAAAAUGUACUCUGCACUAUUGCUUGGAAAAACAAAUCCUGAAGUCGUAAGAGAGGAUUAAAGUUGGAAAAAAAUCUCUCAAGAGAAAAACGAAGGGAGUAAUGACAUCUGCUUAGCAGCAUCCAGCCCCUCAGCCUGCAGCACGGACCUCUGGAGCCCUUACACACGGAAUAAAAGGGGAUGCAGUGAGUGAGGAGCAGCAGAACUGCAAGCAGAGCAGCGCUACUGGUGGUGGUGUUCUACCAUGGCAGUAAACAAAGCCAUCGGUUGCAGACUUCUGCACCAAUUCAGGUGGCUCCAUUGAAGGUGUAAGAUUGGAGGUGUGAGGUUUCUCAGCAGUGGGACGUUACCACCUAGCUGUGAGCUGGCUUUGCUCUGGUGGGCGUCCUGCUGUUCCCCCACAGUGAGCUGUGUUCUGGUUCUGUUGGAAGGCUGCCCGGUCCUUCUGCCGGGUUUAUAUUCCACUUAAACGCGUGGCUAUUCAAGUGACCAACCUUUUGGAGUGUCUCGUUUGGCUUUGCCUUAAACGUUUGCUGCUCCUACCCCUUCCCCCCUUCCUACAGAGGCCUUUUUAUAGGUGGCCUGUAGUGCCAUAUAGUUUUUGCUUAGAGUUGAGCAUUUUCCUAAGCUUAUGGGGUUAACCACGAUUAUGGGAGAGUUCUUGAAGCAUUUUUGAAUGUAAUGCUUUUAUUUAAUGUUUGUAAGCAAGUUCAAAGGUGUCAGAUACAAAUGUCCCAGUAUGGCACAAGGACGAGACGUGGCAUUGGGGAUUGGGCUGUUCUGUUGCUAGUGCACACAAAUGUGGCAAUGAACUUUUUCCCUCGUGCUUUAGAGCAUUAAAACAGCUGUUUUGGAUCAGAGCAAAGUGGGCAGCAGCUGUGGCAGUGAUCUGCCUGUGAUUAGUGGGCUCAGGCACUCGUGGAGUCACAGAUGGGCUUUGUGCUCUUAAGGGCACUGUGCUUUUAGGGCUCCCGCUUUUGCACCAGUGUGCUUCUUAAAGUGCUAAAAGUUUUCCCAGCUGGAAGUCCUCACAGCAUCACACAGCAAAGAGCUCUGGGUAUCAGCAUCCACACAAAGGCACCGCGCAGUCCGCCUGUGUUCCAAUGGGCACAAACAGCACUGAUUGCGUAUUAAAGCCAUUGUCACCAUCACAACCUGGGAGGAGAGCAGAGUGCCAGGACGCUGCAGGACCCCGAAGAUUAUGUCUUAUAAAUAAACAGCUCAAAUUUGUCUGAAGCCUCAGCGUGCGAUGUAUGGAGCGUUGCAUUCUGACCGUGUUACGCCAAGAUUGCUGCUAAUGGCUUUUGGCAGCACAGCCACCAAGUCAGAAAGCUGAGAUGAUUGCAGAUUGUCUGCUUCCAUACACAUCAUACAGCUGCCUGGAAGACGGUGGAGGCAGCGCCUAAUUGAUGUUUGUUCUUGUCAAUGCGUGAUCGGGUUUUGAUGCAAGGUUCUCCUCUUUUGUGCUCUUCUGGUCAAAUUUUCGUUUAAAUUUGUAUUCUGUGCUGAACAGUAGUGCCAGCAGAACCAUAAGCGAGGAGUUUAAAUUUAGGAUGUGUUGCAGAAAUCCAAAAAUGCUUUACUGUUUGGGUAAAAACGUUUUUGUGUUUUUUUUUCCCCUUCAGCUGCUGCUCUGCAUGCCGUAAAACAGCAAUCCGAAGGGUUUGCUCUGAAAGCAUCUCUUUGUGCCCUGGGCCAGUGACCCCACUGCUGUGCCAGUAAAUCAUGGCAAGCUGGAGGAAUCUCCCUGAUUUCUGAGCUCCUAAUCCCGCAAAGCCUGUAAAUGAUGGCUGGCUUAGCUUUGUUUCUGAUAAAACGAGGCUUAUGAGAUGAUGACAUUUGCUGCCUGUUUCUCCUCCGCUCCGUUCCGUGUCACCACCCAAGAGAUCUCUGGAGCCCAUCAGUGCAAGGCUGUGUGCCUAGUGCUACAACACUACCGCGUGCUGGAGAGCAGGGAGGAGCCUGGGUGAAUGUAUGGGAAUGAAUUUGGCUGUGUUAGCACUCCGAUCCCCUUCUGCAUGAUGUGCUUCCCCUGUUCUGCAGUGUCUGAUGCAGGUAUUGGGUCAGCCCAGUGAUGUUUGCUUCCUGGAGAGCACGCAUGGAACCUGCUGAUGGAGUUUGUUAACAGCCCCGCUGUUCCUUAAGCCAAGCUGGGUUUUUGCUUUGAUAAAACCUCUGGGCAUGGUGUGUGGCUGUACAGAGUGUGAGAACUCAGGGAGGUUCUUUACUCUGAGAGUGGCGAGGUGCUGAACAGCUGCCCAGAGAGGCUGUGGAUGCCCCGUCCAUCCCUGGAGGUGUUCAAGGCCAGGUUGGAUGGGCCCUGGGCAGCCUGGGC
RNAcentral lists this long non-coding RNA (4260 nucleotides) under Gallus gallus (chicken). Lineage: Eukaryota; Metazoa; Chordata; Aves; Galliformes; Phasianidae. The record is from RNAcentral.